AUCCAGCUGACGAGUCUCAAAUAGGACGAAAUGCGCGACAAACUGGAU
This 48-nucleotide non-coding RNA is filed under the name Schistosoma mansoni. Lineage: Eukaryota; Metazoa; Platyhelminthes; Trematoda; Strigeidida; Schistosomatidae. The record is from RNAcentral.